Molecule: non-coding RNA, 825 nt
Organism: Cinara cedri
Lineage: Eukaryota; Metazoa; Arthropoda; Insecta; Hemiptera; Aphididae
Source: the annotation of a GenBank genome assembly
AAAAAAAAAAACCACCAGGUAUAAAACAAAUCAUAAAUAAAAUCGUUCUCACACUCACUUACACUUACGCACACACACACACUUAGACUAGUAAAUCAGGUAGUAAAUCAGAUCAGAUUAGACGUUUUUCGAUUCGAUAUAAAAAAGUACAUAAUAAAUUAUUUCGUUAUGAAUUAUUUGUAAAAUUAUUUUCCACGAAUCGAUAAAACAUUUUUUAUUGGACUUUUUAAUUUUUUUGUAUUAUAAUGAACCAUUUAAGUUUUCGUCGGAUCGAGCUUACUGUUUGGUAAUCACUUUGUUCUAAUACAAUAAUAAUUGAUUUAGUCGGUGAUAUUUUGUCCUCCCGUGACGCUUCGCGGUGGUGUAGUAAUAGAUCCGAACAUUAUGCAGUAUUCAAACAGCGACACAGACGUAUUCGUCACCGCAUCAUUGACUAAUUUUUUGUUAUUGUUUUUCCCCAAUAACACCGUUGGUUCCGUUAAUUUUCUUGAUCGAAUAAUAUUAUUUAAAUAAUAUUUAUGUUCUCGAAAAAACCACAUAUUAUUAAGGGUUUUCAAUUUCGGCGUCUCUCCGUGUCGUGUGUGCCGCGUUAUUAUAUACGAGUUUAGUAUAAUAUUUUAAUCCUUUUACCGUGCGAGCAAACCGGCCCGUAAAAGUGUUAAGAACCGUGAAAAACUCGGAUUAUUAUCGUUAUAGAAUUCGAGAAAAAGCGGAGUGAGAAAAAAAAAACGAUAAUAUAUUUUUUUAGGUCCGUUCGGUGACACAUCACGACGAUCCGGCGAGUUUGAUUUAAAACGCGAUUAUAAUAUACGUAUGGGUGUUGAG